UAAAGACAUGAUCACAAAUACCUGGAAACAACCAAUUAAUGUGUUGAAUAACUGCAUUCCGUGUACAGCCAGUAGAGUGUACACAGUAUUAUUGAAUCCUUUUCAGAUUGAGACCCAAGCAGGAUUGUACAGACUGAUCCUAUUAAUUACCAUCUGUUUGUUAUCUGGAAGUAAGAAAAAGGUGGGUUUUGUAUGUGGACUCUGGUGGAAAGUCAAGGUAUUUUAGUCCUUAUUAUCUUUUCACGCUGUACAUAGGGACUAAAAAUUCACUGCCAGAAGAUUCCUGUGAGCGAAAGGAUACAAACAUCCUCUUCCUCUACUCUCAGGGAGGACAAUAGGGUUAAAUAGUUACAUGCUAUUUUUCACACUCCCUCCAGAGUCUCAUAAAACUUGUCCUCUUCAUGCCCAAAGCAGCACAGUCUCCUAACAGCCUCAGAGGAAUUUCAGACAGAUCAUCUCUCCCCAGGGUAUCAGCAAAGUCUUAGCAGCACAGUCCAAGCUGAAGAUACCUGGGAUAUAUUGUGAUACCUCUCACCCUCCUUGAAAAGUGAAGAAGUGAAGAGGAAAAAGAAAUUAAAAGCUGGAAGAGGUUUUCACAAGGUCUCAAAAAGGGAUAGUCUUCCCUUGCUGCAUCCUCUCAUCUUGGACCAAGUCCCUGAAGGAGGAAACAUGGCCACUUUUCUCCCCACAGAUCUAAGGCAAAGUGAAAGGACUCUGGACAUUCUCAGCUCUCCUGCUGCUGAGUGGGAUCCCUCAUCUCACCAAGGAGAAUGGGGGAGCAAGGUAGGGUGGGAGCCCUGCUUCCCUGGGGCUCAGUUUUGCAGUUACCAAAGACUCACCAUGCUAAGACACAAGGGAUGGAGGGUGUCACCUCUCUCUGCCUCCUAGGUCUUUGGGGAGUUCACUUUGUAAGGAACUACAGAAAUCAUCUUUCCAGUACAAUCCAUAGGGGGCUCUUAAUCACAAAAAGCGUGUUGCAGAGGAGAAGCUGAAUGGGGCUCCAGGUAGGUUUAUGAAACUAAGCAGGAGCCAGUGAGGUGCCUGGUCAGGAUAGCAGUCUGAUGCUGAAUAAGGAGAUCAUGAGUAGGUCAACACUGCUAGCCUAACAAUCUCCCUCCUGCCUAAAGCCCAGGAAUAGUGCUACAGCUAAUUACCAUACAGAGCCUUUUGUCAAAAGCCAAAUUACCAGGAACAAUUCAUCCUCAUGGAAAAGAACUGGAGAUAAGAAAUGUCCUGCUUAAGACAGCUGGCAGGACUGCUAAAAAAACACAGAAGGCUUUUGACAAGGUAGGUUUGGGCUCACUGCCUAUCUCAUUCCAAACAACCACAAAACUGGUGCAAGCCUUUGAUGCUCUCCCAUGACGCCAUCACAAGUAGGAACAAUUGGCAACAUCUGCAAUCACUAGUGUAGACUUUUUACUUUGUAAAUGCUAGCUGCUUAAAACUCAUUGUCCAGCUGAUGUCUUCCUGAGGAAAAUGGCUGAACCCCUGGCAUGGCUGAAAAGAAGGUUUGCUUGACACCAGACAGAGGAUUGCCAGCAAGAUUCAGCCUCCUCCUUACUGACUGAAGCUAUCAGGAUUUCCUGUUCUGCUGGUUCACCACCCAUUGACCAGCUGAGUGGGUAGUGGGAAGCAGGGAAAGGCCACAGCAAAAGCUGCUUAUGAAUAGUCCUUUGUUAUCUCUUAAUUACAAACAGAAAUCUUGUCUGGAUGAAAGUCUAAUUUCUUUUUCCAACAUCAUCCUAUACCAGGUUUGCUUCUUCAUGCUAUUGUUUACAAUCUGCUGUUUUCUUUCGGUUUUUUAAGCCUGGGGAGAUUUUGUUGCUGUUUGUUCUUUUUUUUAAGCCAAACCUCUCCAACUCCAGCUGACUCAUCCCUUGUAGCAUUUUUCUUGAUCCAGGUGUAACAUCUCAUUCUUUGCUUGCUGUUGGCAGCUUUUCCAUUCUAGCAAAACUUUUCUGACU
This 1964-nucleotide long non-coding RNA is filed under the name Taeniopygia guttata (zebra finch). RNAcentral describes it as "lncRNA (ENSTGUG00000025984.1)". The record is from RNAcentral. Lineage: Eukaryota; Metazoa; Chordata; Aves; Passeriformes; Estrildidae.